UCAACUUGAGAGUUUGAUUCUGGCUCAGAACGAACGCUGGCGGCAGGCUUAACACAUGCAAGUCGAACGCUCACUUCGGUGAGAGUGGCAGACGGGUGAGUAACGCGUGGGAACGUGCCCUUCGCUUCGGAAUAGCCCUGGGAAACUGGGUGUAAUACCGAAUACGCCGUAAUCGGGAAAGAUUUAUCGGCGAAGGAUCGGCCCGCGUUAGAUUAGUUUGUUGGUGGGGUAAUGGCCUACCAAGACUACGAUCUAUAGCUGAUCUGAGAGGAUGAUCAGCCACACUGGGACUGAGACACGGCCCAGACUCCUACGGGAGGCAGCAGUGGGGAAUCUUGGACAAUGGGGGAAACCCUGAUCCAGCCAUGCCGCGUGAAUGAUGAAGGCCUUAGGGUUGUAAAAUUCUUUCAUCAGGGAUGAUAAUGACAGUACCUGAAGAAGAAGCUCCGGCUAACUUCGUGCCAGCAGCCGCGGUAAUACGAAGGGGGCUAGCGUUGUUCGGAAUUACUGGGCGUAAAGCGCACGUAGGCGGGUUGGAAAGUCAGAGGUGAAAUCCCGGAGCUCAACUUCGGAACUGCCUUUGAAACUCCCAGCCUAGAGGAUAGGAGAGGCAAGUGGAAUACCGAGUGUAGAGGUGAAAUUCGUAGAUAUUCGGUGGAACACCAGUGGCGAAGGCGACUUGCUGGACUAUUUCUGACGCUGAGGUGCGAAAGUGUGGGGAGCAAACAGGAUUAGAUACCCUGGUAGUCCACACCGUAAACGAUGAGAGCUAGUUGUUGGUAAGUAUACUUAUCGGUGACGCAG
This 804-nucleotide ribosomal RNA is filed under the name Hirschia sp. RNAcentral's name for it is "bacterial SSU rRNA". It matches the Rfam family "Bacterial small subunit ribosomal RNA", at positions 1 to 851 of the family's 1533-position model. The record is from RNAcentral. Lineage: Bacteria; Pseudomonadati; Pseudomonadota; Alphaproteobacteria; Hyphomonadales; Hyphomonadaceae.